CCUGGGAAAGUUUGGAGAGGAGAGGUGGCUGAGGGCUGGACCAGAUCUGAGCCCUGUACAUUAAAAUCCCAGGUGGGCUGAACUUCUGGAAAAGGAAGAAGAAAAAACCUACAGACAAUGUGGAUCUGCAGAGACAGUGAUGGAGCAUGUGAUUGGAGAGAAGCAGGGCAGCACCCCAGGAGCCCCAGCGAGACAUGGGGAGGACACUUUAGCUCUCUGGAAGCCCCGCCCACUUUCUGCAGCCUCAGUUGUGAGAUUGCUUUGAAUCUUGAUGGCUAGUUCCCAUUUAUGUAAACUUUUCUUAGUAAAAGGUCAUUUCUAGCAACCAGAUAGUCCCUGAUAAAGACCUCACUGUUAUGACGAUGUCUGUGUCCUAUUAAUUAAGAUCCUGGGAUAUGCAUCCUACUCCAUAAACUUGACUGCAUAAGAAAUGUUACAUUAUUUUAUUUCCUUGAGGUCUAAUUAAAUCUGACCC
Molecule: long non-coding RNA, 475 nt
Filed under: Homo sapiens (human)
Lineage: Eukaryota; Metazoa; Chordata; Mammalia; Primates; Hominidae
Description: HSALNT0098095
Source: RNAcentral